RNAcentral lists this ribosomal RNA (467 nucleotides) under uncultured bacterium. RNAcentral describes it as "bacterial SSU rRNA". It matches the Rfam family "Bacterial small subunit ribosomal RNA", at positions 328 to 793 of the family's 1533-position model. The record is from RNAcentral.
UCUCCAGACUCCUACGGGAGGCAGCAGUGAGGAAUAUUGGUCAAUGGCCGGAAGGCUGAACCAGCCAAGCCGCGUGAAGGAAGAAGGCGCCAAGCGUCGUAAACUUCUUUUGUCGGGGAACAAAGGGCGCCACGUGUGGCGUUGUGAGUGUACCCGAAGAAAAAGCAUCGGCUAACUCCGUGCCAGCAGCCGCGGUAAUACGGAGGAUGCGAGCGUUAUCCGGAUUUAUUGGGUUUAAAGGGUGCGCAGGCGGAGGUGCAAGUCAGCGGUCAAAUUGCGGGGCUCAACCCCGUACUGCCGUUGAAACUGCAUCCCUUGAGUGCGCGAGAAGUAUGCGGAAUGCGUGGUGUAGCGGUGAAAUGCAUAGAUAUCACGCAGAACUCCGAUUGCGAAGGCAGCAUACCGGCGCGCAACUGACGCUCAUGCACGAAGGCGUGGGUAUCGAACAGGAUUAGAUACCCGAGUAC